RNAcentral lists this ribosomal RNA (449 nucleotides) under uncultured bacterium. RNAcentral describes it as "bacterial SSU rRNA". It matches the Rfam family "Bacterial small subunit ribosomal RNA", at positions 29 to 524 of the family's 1533-position model. The record is from RNAcentral.
AGCGAACGCUGGCGGCAGGCCUAACACAUGCAAGUCGAACGAACUCUUCGGAGUUAGUGGCGGACGGGUGAGUAACACGUGGGAACGUGCCUUUAGGUUCGGAAUAACUCAGGGAAACUUGUGCUAAUACCGAAUGUGCCCUUCGGGGAAAGAUUUAUCGCCUUUAGAGCGGCCCGCGUCUGAUUAGCUAGUUGGUGAGGUAAAGGCUCACCAAGGCUACGAUCAGUAGCUGGUCUGAGAGGAUGACCAGCCACAUUGGGACUGAGACACGGCCCAAACUCCUACGGGAGGCAGCAGUGGGGAAUCUUGCGCAAUGGGCGAAAGCCUGACGCAGCCAUGCCGCGUGGAUGAUGAAGGUCUUAGGAUUGUAAAAUCCUUUCACCGGUGAAGAUAAUGACUGUAGCCGGAGAAGAAGCCCCGGCUAACUUCGUGCCAGCAGCCGCGGUAAU